This 253-nucleotide ribosomal RNA is filed under the name uncultured bacterium. RNAcentral's name for it is "partial 16S ribosomal RNA". It matches the Rfam family "Bacterial small subunit ribosomal RNA", at positions 524 to 776 of the family's 1533-position model. The record is from RNAcentral.
UACGGGGGGGGCAAGCGUUGUUCGGAAUUACUGGGCGUAAAGGGCGCGUAGGUGGCCCGACAAGUCCGUGGUGAAAGCUCGACGCUCAACGUCGAGUCGGCCAUGGAUACUGUUGGGCUGGAGCACUGUAGAGGCUCAUGGAAUUCCGGGUGUAGCGGUGGAAUGCGUAGAGAUCCGGAAGAACACCGGUGGCGAAGGCGGUGAGCUGGGCAGUUGCUGACACUGAGGCGCGACAGCGUGGGGAGCAAACAGG